This 2122-nucleotide long non-coding RNA is filed under the name Anas zonorhyncha (Eastern spot-billed duck). Its description in RNAcentral is "lncRNA (ENSAZOG00000008259.1)". Lineage: Eukaryota; Metazoa; Chordata; Aves; Anseriformes; Anatidae. The record is from RNAcentral.
AUGGUAGUGCAGAAGGUACAGGAAGGUACAGAAGCAAUACCAUGGAAAGCAAGUGAGAAAUAUCCUCAAUUUUGGCAGCUCUUGAGGGAGGAAACUUUGGGCACUCCACAGAAGGGAGGACAUGAAAUAUUACCCCAAAGGGACCGGCAAAGCUCCAGAUAUCUGCCUUCAGGGUCACUCUGGGACACUCUGAAGUCUUACGGCCUCGGAGACUGUUUCCUCGUACAGAGGGAAGAGAAGCUGGAAGAAAGGCUCCAGAUACUACAGGGUAAGACGACAGUCUCUGCUAUUGAUAAGAUACCUGGAAAACACAAAGGGGAAUUAGGUAUCUACUUCAGGCAGCUGCAUUAGACUUCUCCUCACUCUUACUAAUCCUCCUCAGCAGUAUUAUGGGCAGAAAUUCUUCCUUCUGCAUGAGCAGUUUUUCUAGUGGUUAAAGACAUUAAUGAAGGCUGAGACCAUUAAGUCCUGUUUCUUGCCUGCUUCUAGCAAACUGUAUGAACUCAGUCCCAUUGUUUUAAUUCCUGUGUUUCAGUUUAUUUAUCUGUAAGGCAGCCGUCUAUGUUAUAUACCUCACGCAGCUUUGUGAGGGCAGAUUUUUUGUAAAGAUGACUGGGAAUUUCUGGGAAAAAAUGUGGUGUAAUCAUGACAUAUUAUAGUUAUUAUCAGUUCUCAUUGAAAGAAUUGUACUUUUGCAUGUGAGAAAGGGAAGAAGGAAAGAUGCUCAUUAGCAGCUUCCUUCCUUGGGCUAUGAGCUUCCAUGGGCUUCUCUCUGAUAAGCGUGUACACAGCUGCAGUCCCACGGCAGCCCAAGCUGAUGUAACAGCUGCUGCUGUGGUGUAGUGCCACCAUCUGCCCUUCUCCCACAGUCCCUCUCCAUCCCCUACAUCGCCUCAAAUGUUCUCCUCUCCUUCGCAGAAUCCUUCGCAGAACCACUUCAAGAAAACUACCUUUGGGGAAGAAAACUACCCGUUACUCUUUCUUUUUUCUUUUUUCUUUCUGAAGGGGUGUAGUUUCAGCUGGGGGGUGGUGGUGCUCCGAAGUGUGACAGGACACCAUAGAGGGACACUGGAGCUGUUGCAGGAGAGGAGCAGGGCUGUGUGGCUUAGGGCACGGCGGCAGAGAUGGCUGUGGUGGCCAGCAGCCAUGCCACAGCCUUUCCCACCAGGCUAGGGUUUUCUGGUGAGGUGAUAGCUGCUGCUGAGACUGGCUUAACACGUGGACCUACAAACAACAGCAUAACCCCUGAUGGGGUAGUUCAGGGCUGAAGAGGAGCCAUGGGGGAAAGAGAGGAGUGAGGGUGCUAUAAGAUGGGACUCUAAUCAAGAACAAGUUGAGGAAAGAGAAGUAGGAGCCAUUAUGGAGAAAAUGUUGGGUUAUGGCUCUCAAAAAAUUGACCAGCCUGGAAUUAUUAGGAGAAAUCCAGAGAACUGCCUGAAAAUACCACUUUCCGAUAGUAAAAAGUACCUGAUUUGCUGACUUCUUAUACGCUGUGAAGAAUUCUGGUUCCCCCUCCCCACUUCAGAACGGAUGAGGUAUAGUUAAAAAAGAGGUUCAGAGAAGGGCAUCAAGGAUGCACAGAGGAAUGGAGCCAUCUUCCUGACACAGAGAGGCUACACAGAAUAAUCCCUCUUGAGUCUGGAAAAGAGAGACCUGGCAAGAGCAGAGGAAGGUUGCUAGAUUGCAGUGCUUUAUGGGAUCAUGAAUGACAUGGUGAAUGGAUACGAAGAAAGCAAAAAGAUGUGUUUCAGUACUUCUUUCUAAAAAGAAUAAAAGGCUGGUGAACACUGAGAACUUACACAAACACAAGAAAAUUUAGGUUGAAAGGGACUUCUGGAUGUAAUCUGGUCCAACUGCCUCUCAAAGAAGGGCCAAAGGGGGCUUUGUCUUGCCCAGUUUUGAAUACCUCCAAAAAUGCAGAUCCUACAGCCUCUCUGGGCAACCUGAUCCACUGUUAUCAGACAGAAGAUUUGAAACAACUUAAGAAAAUAUUUUAUUUUAUGACCUUUAAAUAUGAUUAACUCAUUACUUAGGAUUCACUGGGGUGAAAAGACUGAAUUGCUUCAUGUACUGACCAAAACCCUGGAUGAAAAGCUCUUCCAGAGCUAUUAAAACUGUGAGC